UAGAGUUUGAUCCUGGCCCAGGAUAAACGCUGGCGGCGUGCCUAAUACAUGCAAGUCGAACGAGGGCGGCCAAGCUUGCUUGGCCAAACGAGUGGCGAACGGGUGAGUAACACAUAAGCAACCUGCCCACGGAGACCGGGAUAAUCUCUGGAAACGGGGACUAAAACCGGAUAGGUAGCACAGCCGCAUGGUAGUGCUAUAAAAGGUGAGAGACACUGGUGGAUGGGCUUAUGGCGCAUUAGCUAGUUGGUGAGGUAAAGGCCCACCAAGGCGAUGAUGCGUAGCCGGCCUGAGAGGGUGAACGGCCACAUUGGGACUGAGACACGGCCCAGACUCCUACGGGAGGCAGCAGUAGGGAAUUUUCGGCAAUGGGGGGAACCCUGACCGAGCAACGCCGCGUGAACGAUGAAGGUCUUCGGAUUGUAAAGUUCUGUUGUACGGGAAGAACGGUAUGGAGAGGAUCCAUAAGUGACGGUACCGUACCAGAAAGCCACGGCUAACUACGUGCCAGCAGCCGCGGUAAUACGUAGUGGCGAGCGUUAUCCGGAAUUAUUGGGCGUAAAGGGUGCGUAGCGGUCUGUUAAGUUCAUGGUUAAAGCGUGGGGCUCCAACCCCAUAAAGCCACGGAUACUGGCAGACUAGAGUACUGGAAAGGGCAGUGGAAUUCCAUGUGUAGCGGUAAAAUGCGUAGAUAUAUGGAGGAACACCGGUGGCGAAGGCGGCUGCCUGGACAGAGACUGACGCUGAGGCACGAAAGCGUGGGGAGCAAAUAGGAUUAGAUACCCUAGUAGUCCACGCCGUAAACGAUGGAUACUAAGUAUUGGGGCAACUCAGUGCUGCAGUUAACGAAUAAGUAUCCCCCCUGUGGAGUAUGCACGCAAGUGUGAAACAUAAAGGAUUGACGGGGGCCCGACAGCGGUGGAGAUGUGGUUUAAUUCGACGCAACGCGAAGAACCUUACCAGGCCUUGACAUCCCGUGCAAAGGUAUAGAGAUAUACCGGAGGUUACCAAGGUGACAGGUGGUGCAUGGUGUCGUCAGCUCGUGUCGUGAGAUGUUGGGUUAAGUCCCGCAACGAGCGCAACCCUUGUCUUCAGUUACCAAUAUCAAGUUAGGGACUCUGGAGAGACUGCCGGUGAUAAACCGGAGGAAGGUGGGGAUGACGUCAAGUCCUCAUGGCCCUUACGGGCUGGGCUACACACGUACUACAAUGGCGAAUACAAAGGGAAGCAAGCGUGCGAACGCAAGCGGAUCCUAUAAAAUUCGUCUCAGUUCAGAUUGCACUCUGCAACUCGAGUGCAUGAAGUUGGAAUCGCUAGUAAUCGCGAAUCAGCAGGUCGCGGUGAAUACGUUCCCGGGCCUUGUACACACCGCCCGUCACACCAUGGGAGUUGGUUCUACCUGAAGGCGCUGUGCUGACCGCAAGGAGGCAGGUGACCACGGUAGGAUCAGUGACUGGGGUGAAGUCGUAACAAGGUAACCGUA
This 1483-nucleotide ribosomal RNA is filed under the name haloalkaliphilic bacterium EMB4. RNAcentral describes it as "bacterial SSU rRNA". It matches the Rfam family "Bacterial small subunit ribosomal RNA". The record is from RNAcentral. Lineage: Bacteria; Bacillati; Bacillota; Bacilli; Caryophanales.